UCUACAGGAAGAAGAGGUUUCAGAGCAUUCAGCAUCUCCCCUGUGAGCCCCUUGUAUGUGGUACCUGAGCAGCAACGUGCCCACGUGUGCCUGGAGCUGCCCUGUACCUGCAGCGUGCUGCCUGCACUGCUGUCACUUGGGUGAAUUUAAAGAUUGUCAUUGUGAUAUCAUCACGACAAAUACUUCUCAGGAGAACUUCUUACUUCACGACAAAUCCAUCAUUGGAGAGGUCUGGGCAUCCCUGCUAUGUCCCAUUGGUGUCAGCAUUGGUGGAAGGAAGAGAACCAGUCCCUGCUGUGAUGCUGGGGUGCCCUAUGCUGAAUUCCACAGGUGCCAAGAGAGGAGGAACUGCCACUUCCUAGGCUGUAAAAAUGCCUUGAGCUGCUGCUGCUGUUUCCACACACUAACAGUCAUCAGAUGUUGGCUAUCCUUUACCAACAGGAGAAAUGAAAGCUUUUAUCUCAACUUCUGUAGAGUAGUAAUAAUAACCUGCUGUAAGCCUGGCUGUCCCGAAUGUCACUGCUGGCUCAGGAAAACAAGAUAAAGGCAUCAAUCCACCCACCUGAGCUCUGCGUGACCGUUGGCUGAAGGGAAGAGAGAAGUUGGAAGCUGUCUGUCUGCAAUUUUGG
RNAcentral lists this long non-coding RNA (629 nucleotides) under Meleagris gallopavo (turkey). Its description in RNAcentral is "lncRNA (ENSMGAG00000021719.1)". The record is from RNAcentral. Lineage: Eukaryota; Metazoa; Chordata; Aves; Galliformes; Phasianidae.